CGGCGAGUGAAGCGGCAACAGCUCAAAUUUGAAAUCUGGCUCUCGGGCCCGAGUUGUAAUUUGUAGAGGAUACUUUUGAUGCGGUGCCUUCCGAGUUCCCUGGAACGGGACGCCAUAGAGGGUGAGAGCCCCGUCUGGUUGGAUGCCAAAUCUCUGUAAAGUUCCUUCGACGAGUCGAGUAGUUUGGGAAUGCUGCUCUAAAUGGGAGGUAUAUGUCUUCUAAAGCUAAAUACCGGCCAGAGACCGAUAGCGCACAAGUAGAGUGAUCGAAAGAUGAAAAGCACUUUGAAAAGAGAGUUAAAAAGUACGUGAAAUUGUUGAAAGGGAAGCGUUUAUGACCAGACUUGGGCUUGGUUAAUCAUCUGGGGUUCUCCCCAGUGCACUUUUCCAGUCCAGGCCAGCAUCAGUUUUCCCCGGGGGAUAAAGACUUCGGGAAUGUGGCUCUCUUCGGGGAGUGUUAUAGCCCGUUGUGUAAUACCCUGGGGGGGACUGAGGUUCGCGCAUCUGCAAGGAUGCUGGCGUAAUGGUCAUCAACGACCCGUCUUGAAACACGGACCAAGGAGUCGUCUUCGUAUGCGAGUGUUCGGGUGUCAAACCCCUACGCGUAAUGAAAGUGAACGCAGGUGAGAGCUUCGGCGCAUCAUCGACCGAUCCUGAUGUUCUCGGAUGGAUUUGAGUAAGAGCAUACGGGGCCGGACCCGAAAGAAGGUGAACUAUGCCUGUAUAGGGUGAAGCCAGAGGAAACUCUGGUGGAGGCUCGCAGCGGUUCUGACGUGCAAAUCGAUCGUCAAAUAUGGGCAUGGGGGCGAAAGACUAAUCGAACCUUCUAGUAGCUGGUUUCCGCCGAAGUUUCCCUCAGGAUAGCAGUGUUGAACUCAGUUUUAUGAGGUAAAGCGAAUGAUUAGGGACUCGGGGGCGCUAUUUAGCCUUCAUCCAUUCUCAAACUUUAAAUAUGUAAGAAGCUCUUGUUGCUUAAUUGAACGUGAGCAUUCGAAUGUAUCAACACUAGUGGGCCAUUUUUGGUAAGCAGAACUGGCGAUGCGGGAUGAACCGAACGCGAGGUUAAGGUGCCAGAGUAGACGCUCAUCAGACACCACAAAAGGUGUUAGUACAUCUUGACAGCAGGACGGUGGCCAUGGAAGUCGGAAUCCGCUAAGGACUGUGUAACAACUCACCUGCCGAAUGUACUAGCCCUGAAAAUGGAUGGCGCUCAAGCGUCUCACCCAUACCUCGCCCUCAGGGUAGAAACGAUGCCCUGAGGAGUAGGCGGACGUGGAGGUCAGUGACGAA
RNAcentral lists this ribosomal RNA (1290 nucleotides) under Fusarium sp. Its description in RNAcentral is "partial large subunit ribosomal RNA". It matches the Rfam family "Eukaryotic large subunit ribosomal RNA", at positions 87 to 1407 of the family's 3401-position model. The record is from RNAcentral. Lineage: Eukaryota; Fungi; Ascomycota; Sordariomycetes; Hypocreales; Nectriaceae.